This 441-nucleotide ribosomal RNA is filed under the name uncultured bacterium. RNAcentral describes it as "partial 16S ribosomal RNA". It matches the Rfam family "Bacterial small subunit ribosomal RNA", at positions 338 to 795 of the family's 1533-position model. The record is from RNAcentral.
CCUACGGGGGGCUGCAGUGGGGAAUAUUGCACAAUGGGGGAAACCCUGAUGCAGCGACGCCGCGUGAGUGAAGAAGUAUUUCGGUAUGUAAAGCUCUAUCAGUAGGGAAGAAAAUGACUGUACCUGAUUAAGAAGGUAUGGCCAACUACGUGCCAGCAGCCGCGGUAAUACGGAGGGGGCAAGCGUUAUCCGGAUUUACUGGGUGUAAAGGGAGCGUAGAGGGCAGCACAAGUCUGGAGGGAAAUGCCCGUGGCUCAACCGCGGAACUGCUUUGGAAACUGUAUAGCUUGAGUACUGGAGAGGCAGGCGGAAUUCGUGGUGUAGCGGUGAAAUGCUUAGAUAUUAGGAAGAACACCAGUGGCGAAGGCGGCCUGCUGGACUGAAACUGACGCUGAGGCUCGAAAGCGUGGGUAGCAAACAGGAUUAGAUACCCGAGUAGUC